This 382-nucleotide ribosomal RNA is filed under the name uncultured Bicosoecida. RNAcentral describes it as "partial small subunit ribosomal RNA". It matches the Rfam family "Eukaryotic small subunit ribosomal RNA", at positions 30 to 432 of the family's 1831-position model. The record is from RNAcentral. Lineage: Eukaryota; Bigyra; Bicosoecida.
GCUUGUCUCAAAGAUUAAGCCAUGCAUGUCUAAGUAUAAGCCUUUAUAUGGUGAGACUGCGAAUGGCUCAUUAAAUCAGAAACUGUUUAUUUGAUAGUGCCUACUACAUGGAUACCUGUAGUAAUUCUAGAGCUAAUACAUGCGACAACCCUCAUUAGAGGCGUAUUUAUUAGAUACAACCAACCCUUCGGGUCACUGGUGAAUCAUAAUAACUUAUCGAACCGCAUGCGCAAGCGGCGGUGGUUCAUUCAAGUUUCUGCCCUAUCAGCUUUCGAUGGUAGGGUAUUGGCCUACCAUGGCUUUCACGGGUAACGGAGAAUUAGGGUUCGAUUCCGGAGAGGGAGCCUGAGAGAUGGCUACCACAUCCAAGGAAGGCAGCAGG